RNAcentral lists this ribosomal RNA (235 nucleotides) under uncultured bacterium. RNAcentral's name for it is "partial 16S ribosomal RNA". It matches the Rfam family "Bacterial small subunit ribosomal RNA", at positions 14 to 229 of the family's 1533-position model. The record is from RNAcentral.
GUAUCCUGGCUCAGGAUGAACGCUGGCGGCGUGCCUAACACAUGCAAGUCGAACGAAGCUUGACGGAUGAUUUCUUUCGGAAUGAAACCAGAUAUGACUUAGUGGCGGACGGGUGAGUAACACGUGAGCAACCUGCCUUUCAGAGGGGGAUAACGGCUGGAAACGGUCGCUAAUACCGCAUGACGUGUUCGGAUGGCAUCAUCUGAACAUCAAAGAUUUAUCGCUGAAAGAUGGG